RNAcentral lists this ribosomal RNA (497 nucleotides) under uncultured bacterium. RNAcentral's name for it is "partial 16S ribosomal RNA". It matches the Rfam family "Bacterial small subunit ribosomal RNA", at positions 28 to 507 of the family's 1533-position model. The record is from RNAcentral.
GAUGAACGCUGGCGGCGUGCCUAAUACAUGCCAGUCGAGCGAACGGACGAGAAGCUUGCUUCUCUGAUGUUUGCGGCGGACGGGUGAGUAACACGUGGAUAACCUACCUAUAAGACUGGGAUAACUUCGGGAAACCGGAGCUAAUACCGGAUAAUAUUUUGAACCGCAUGGUUCAAAAGUGAAAGACGGUCUUGCUGUCACUUAUAGAUGGAUCCGCGCUGCAUUAGCUAGUUGGUAAGGUAACGGCUUACCAAGGCAACGAUGCAUAGCCGACCUGAGAGGGUGAUCGGCCACACUGGAACUGAGACACGGUCCAGACUCCUACGGGAGGCAGCAGUAGGGAAUCUUCCGCAAUGGGCGAAAGCCUGACGGAGCAACGCCGCGUGAGUGAUGAAGGUCUUCGGAUCGUAAAACUCUGUUAUUAGGGAAGAACAUAUGUGUAAGUAACUGUGCACAUCUUGACGGUACCUAAUCAGAAAGCCACGGCUAACUACGUG